This 297-nucleotide unclassified non-coding RNA is filed under the name Hevea brasiliensis (rubber tree). The record is from RNAcentral. Lineage: Eukaryota; Viridiplantae; Streptophyta; Magnoliopsida; Malpighiales; Euphorbiaceae.
UCAAUGAUGCUGCAUUAAAGGUAUAUUGGGUUGUAGUUGUAUAUAAUGCAGUUCCAGCUUCUUCUAUAAGCCAUUUUUAUUAGUACUCCAUUUGGGAUUUAAUUCUUGGUCAAUGUCUUAUUGGGAUAUGUAGCGGCCAAAAAUUUUGAGAAUUUCAGAAGGUUGGCAGAGAGUUUUUGUCUCUCUUGGUUGACGCAUCACUCUGAUCUAGGCUUCUCAUCCAGUGUUCCUCUUUGUGAUUUAUUUAUUUAAGCUUCUUGUGUGAAUUGCUGCUAAGAUCGAAAAGCUUGCAGUAGG